Long non-coding RNA from Ixodes scapularis (black-legged tick), 947 nucleotides. RefSeq lists it as uncharacterized. The record is from RefSeq and is a predicted model, not a curated record. Lineage: Eukaryota; Metazoa; Arthropoda; Arachnida; Ixodida; Ixodidae. The transcript has 3 exons.
AGCUAAAAUUGACGCGUAGAAGAGUCUGCACCAAGUAUAAGCGCCAGCCGCAUGUCCGCCCACGAGUGUUGGGACAACGGUAAACCCAAGUGGAAGAAAACAGACUCCGAGAAGAAUCGGGGCAUCCACGCAACAGGAGGGGGCACUGGUAUCACACCCGCUGAACAAUGGGCCCGUCCCUCCAUCUUGUGGGGGCACUGGUGUCCCACAUGGCAAUGCGGCUGCCAAGCCCGUACAACAGUGGCAGCGCCCGCGCUGGUUGGCCGGUGCUCUCAAUGCUGCCAGCCGCCUUUCCCGAAGCCACAGUGGACGAGCAUGACGACUGGCAUGAUGCCUGAUUCACCUGCCUCACCGCUGCUGGACUGGGGUGGCAUCAUGGAGGUUGCGGUUGCUGCGUCACCAACCAAGCCCCAGCUCCUCUACCUCCUCAGCCGCCACGUGUGAUUGUCCGAGUGAAGACAACUAAAGGUUGCACCGACUGGAGGAGCUACACCUGCUGCAGGUGGAGCUACAUCAGUGUCAGGUUGCCUAUUAACAGACGCAGGCCCAGGUCGAGCUUGAGCUACUUCAGCUCAACAAACUAAUCACGCUGCAACAACUGCUUGUUCUCGGGGUCCAGCCACAACAGUAGGCUGAUUUAUUCGAUUUGUUUCAUCUUCCUCUUUAGUAAUUACCAUUCUCUUUUGUGUUUAAGAAUGCUUUUUUAAGGUCUGUAACUUGCUUCAUUUUAUCUCUGACCUGAAGUUGUUACAAGUAUUGACCGUAUCUCGUUUGUUAAAGCCUAGCAUUUUUUUAACUUGUUUCUCGAUUUGCUAUUUGUAGUGAACAUUUUAUGCAAAAGGGCAGUUACGUCAGCUUUAAAUCUAUUCCUUUGAAACUUAGAAAGUAACAGAGUAUUUUUUUCUUACUAAUUACAUUGUUUGUAUGUUUAGACAACGGGAAGUUAG